Non-coding RNA from Pelobates cultripes (western spadefoot toad), 307 nucleotides. The record is from the annotation of a GenBank genome assembly. NCBI's taxonomy places the organism in Eukaryota, Metazoa, Chordata, Amphibia, Anura, Pelobatidae.
CUUGGGAUCUGGUUAACUAGAGACCUGACGAAAGUCUAUCAAGAAAACUUUCUCCCGAUUCUCCAAACGCUCCGUGCGGACUUGCUCAGAUGGGGACGCCUAUGCGUGUCGUGGUUUGGGAGGAUCAAUACAGUAAAGAUGAAUCUGUUGCCACGCUUGCUGUAUCUUUUCCAGGCCAUCCCGAUCGCGAUCCCGCGAACAUAUUUCAACACCUUGGGCUCGGCGAUACUGCGAUUCGUCUGGGCGAAGGGACCGCCGAGGGUAAGAAAGACGCAACUGAUACUCCCGAGACAUCGUGGUGGAACAG